UACGUAGGGUGCGAGCGUUAAUCGGAAUUACUGGGCGUAAAGCGUGCGCAGGCGGUUCGUUAAGUUCGUCGUGAAAGCCCCGGGCUCAACCUGGGAAUGGCGAUGGAAACUGGCGGGCUGGAGUCUGGCAGAGGGGGGUGGAAUUCCGCGUGUAGCAGUGAAAUGCGUAGAGAUGCGGAGGAACACCGAUGGCGAAGGCAGCCCCCUGGGCCAAGACUGACGCUCAGGCACGAAAGCGUGGGGAGCAAACAGG
Molecule: ribosomal RNA, 253 nt
Filed under: uncultured prokaryote
Description: partial 16S ribosomal RNA
Rfam family: Bacterial small subunit ribosomal RNA
Source: RNAcentral